CAGGGCGUCGAUGACCUGACGGGCGAGCCCCUGGUCCAGCGCGAGGACGACAAACCCGAGGCCGUUGCCGCCAGGCUGAGAAAAUACAAAGAUGCUGCAAAGCCAGUAAUAGAGCUGUACAAGAGCAGGGGCAUCCUUCAUUCCUUCUCGGGGACGGAGACCAACAAGAUCUGGCCGUACGUGUACACCCUGCUCUCCAGCAAGAUCCCACCCGUUCUUUCGGACGAGGAGAACUAAACAGCUUGUGCCAAGGACCAAGAGUUAACGCCGUCACGGAUUUGGUUUCUCUGGGGCUGUGCUCAGAUUAGGUGAUCGUGCGGUAUCUCAAGUCCCUUCCCUGGGUGUGCUGGGUGACCUCCAUGGGUACACCAUUAUAGCCAGUUUCAGGGUGAAAAGAUCUUGGCUUGUAAGGUCAAAUCUGCUAGAAUAAGAUGGGGUUUUUUUCUCUCUUGAGGCUAUACAAUAUUCCUGCCUAUGGUCCAGUACACACACAGAGCUGGGUAAUGAUCAUACCAGGGUUACACAUCUUGCCAUGGUGUCCCUGCUACCCCCAUACAAACCCCAGUCUCUGAGCCUUCAACGUGCCAUCCUUUUCCUCCACAGUACCAUUUACUGCAGAUUACUCUCUAGGUCGUUUCUUUUUUAAAAAAGAAAUACAAAAAUUAUUUUCUAUAAAAUUUGUUUAUCAGAGAAAUAAGGCUCUAAAAAGCAAGGCUUAGCCCAGUGGGAAUUGGUGAGCAACGUGGAAAAUAUUUACACUCCAAAGCUCAGAAACAUGGAAGAUCACAUUUCUGAUAUUAAUACACACGAAAGAGGGAAAAUAUUGGGAGGUAAAACACGCUCUUGUGCUUGUUCCGUAGAGAGAGAUGAAACCCCUGUUACAGAGCGCUGCCGUUUUCACGAGCUGCUGUGACACCGAGCAGGACCCGUGCCAGGGAUGAGCCACGCUCCUUUGUGCUUACCUUGUUUAUCGCUUUUCACACUACGAGAUACACUCCUGUUUAUGAGAGUUUCUCCCAAAGAUGUAUUUUUAGCGUCUGCUUUGGUUUUGGGGAGAAAUCGAGUCGUUCCAUCUUCUGUGCUGCCUUUAUCCCUGAGGUCUCCCAGCGAUGGGGUGUUCCCUAAGCGGCUCCAGCAUCCCCAGCAGAAGUGACUCCCUCCCCACGAACCCCCGGAGGGACCAGAGCCUUCCCUUCCCUGGGACACGUGCAGGAGCUGCCGAGGGCCAUCCUCAGGCAUUUCCCCAAGAUUUACAGCUUCCUCUGCACAUCUCGCUCCUCUUUUCUUGCGCAGGAGCUUUGUGUCUGGGUGGGGUGGCUUUUCUCAACUGGAAGUACUGUAACCCCUCUUUGGUGGUAGGAUGCAGUACCUAAGCAAUGGGGACGUUCUUUAUGUCUCCACGAGUUGCCUUAUUUUAUAGAAUAUAUAUUUAAGGAAAAAAAAAAAAAAAAAAGCAAGAUGUGUAUUUUUAAAA
Calidris pugnax (ruff) is the source of this 1474-nucleotide long non-coding RNA. RefSeq lists it as uncharacterized. The record is from RefSeq and is a predicted model, not a curated record. Lineage: Eukaryota; Metazoa; Chordata; Aves; Charadriiformes; Scolopacidae. The transcript is spliced from 2 exons.